GGCCGGAGGGCGGCCGGAUCGCGGCGGCGGCGGCCGGGAGUCCGCCCUCGGCGGCGGGAGGGGCUGCGGGCUCGGGGGACACGGGGGCACCCGGGGACAGCAGGAUGCCGAGCCCCCGGCACCACCCCGAGACCCUCGCGCUCCUUCUGGAAAGCAGAGCAGCACUGAUGGGAUGCCACGGACUGAGUGUGUGCAGAACCAGGGAUAACCUCGUUCAUUUUCCCAGGAUGUUCUGCUGCUCUGUGCCACCUCAGGGUGACAGAGAGCUGAGAGUUCCUGAGAAUUCCUCACUGCAGAGUUUUUCCAGGGGAAGCUUCAAGCCUGCACAAGCACUGUGGGAUCAGCCAGCCCCAUCCCUUGGA
Molecule: long non-coding RNA, 362 nt
Organism: Passer domesticus (house sparrow)
Lineage: Eukaryota; Metazoa; Chordata; Aves; Passeriformes; Passeridae
Exons: 3
Source: RefSeq, a predicted model, not a curated record